Molecule: long non-coding RNA, 2443 nt
Organism: Apis cerana (Asiatic honeybee)
Lineage: Eukaryota; Metazoa; Arthropoda; Insecta; Hymenoptera; Apidae
Source: RefSeq, a predicted model, not a curated record
AUUACCUUUUCCUCUCUGGUCACCGUUUGACUGCCGGAGCUGGCCGCGUCCCUCGGUUGCAUCUCGAACACCGUUCUGAACAAAUUUUCCGCGGUCAUGGUCAAGAAGCCUAUUUCCGCGUUUGGAUGCAACCCGUACAGGAUGAACGAGCAGAUGAAUCGCUUACCUGGUGCCAACAUCAAUUCUCCAUCGAUCAAUUCGGGCUGCAUCAAUUCUUCGAGAUCGCCCACGUUGAAAGGGUAGAUCUUAUUCCAACCCUGAGGACCGAAUUUCCUCCGCUCCGCGACCACCGCGUGGAAGUAGCAAAGGGAAAAUAGAAUCACCUUGAACUCCGCCUCCUUGCUGCACAUCUCCAACGUUUCCUGGGUGAAAUUGUCCAGAGCUUUGUGAAGAUUCGCCUGCAUCCCCGUGGGCGGCUCGUUCGUGAUCUUGAUGGACGACUCGAGGAUCCCCUGAGGUAUCAUUCUCGUUUAUAUAUAUAUAUAUAUAUAUUUUUCCACUAAUCUCUUAAUCUGUUUUAUCACAUACGAACGAGAAAUAACGAUUAAUCGAUUACUUGGGGGAUGAUGUGUCCUGCCGGUGUACCGGCUGGUUCGGCGCUCAUAAACACCCUGUAAUUCUCGUGGGAACCGUCCGCCGCUACCUCCAACUUUUUCUCCAAUAAAGAAUGAAGCCAUCCUCCGGCUGCAGCGAGAGAUCCGCCGCGGCCUGCUUCACCAUCUUCUCGAACUCGGCGUCUCGUUUCCGCGGGACAUCCAACGCGGGGAACAAAUCGGCUAUCAGGCCCAUGAACACGGGCAGAUCGUCGGAUAUCACUUUGGGAAUAUUGAAAUCUCGAAGGGCUCUCAUCAGCACUUGCUCCUCUGGCCUUCCCGGAUCUCCCCUCUUCAGACUUCCGGCGACCACAAGAACGGAUUUUAUCGCGCGCAAUCCCCAAUCGUAGUGGUCCUGCUUCGACAACAGCUCUUUGCACAACGUGUACAAGAAUCUCUUCGACUCACCCGAUACGCGUCUCGGCGAAGGAGCAGCCGCGUCAUCGAAUUUCAAUCGGGCCAUGGAAUCGAACAGUUUCGUCAGAUGCUUGGCCACCACCUCGGGCUGAUUUCCAUUCGACAGGAUGUCCAACAGAUCGCUGGACGAAACGAAAUAGAACCUCGGGAACGCCAAACGUUUCGUCUCCAAGUAUUCGGCCAACGCUUUCUCGCAGAGGACCAAUUCCUUUUCGAGGAUGUCCAGGGAGGCCGCAAGCCCAUCUUUAUUCGUCGCUUCAACUACGUUCAACGUCCUCCCUAGUUCCUCCGUCAUUUGCUUGAACUCCUUGUCGAUCCUGUCGAACCUCUCGGCAUCCGUGGGCAAUUGUCUGCGUAUAUCCUCGGACGAGGUGAAGAUACUUUCCAGAUGCGUCCAAGUUCGUUGCACCUCGAACCAGAUCGUGGUCACUUGGUCCGCGAUGCUCAACUUCCGCUGCCAACUGGACACCUCUUCCAGAAAAUGGGCUAUGAACUUGGAGGUGAUGAGAUUUUGCAACUGGACCUGUACGGAGGAGAUGGUGGAAGAAGAGUAUCGAUAUGGAUUGGGUCUGUCGUUUGGAUUUGGAAAGUUUUUACCUGGUUUUCUUCCAGAGUUUCGAUCAGUUCCUCGCUGGCUCUUAUUAAGGUGGCGCCGGUUCGAGCGUGAAUUUCUUUUUCGAACUCCAUUUUCGACCAGAUGGCGUUCAAUUCCUUCAUGUAUCUCUCCAUUGACAUCUCCUUCACGGCUUUAUCAACGAUGUUCUUCACUUCUUCCUCGCAGUCGUGCAGAUUCAGCUCGAGAAGAUCGGCCAAUGUGGUAGACUCGUCCAUGACGAAUUUUACCUUAAGCACACUCUUCGUUGACUAUUCACGUUUCUUUUAUCGUUCGAAAGCUCGAAGUGUUGAAUGAAUGAGUUUGAAAAAAAAAAAAAAAGAAACGAAGCAAGGUGUAAGCGAAGAAUUAAACAUUUCUCGAAUCACAAGAUCGAAUUUAUUAUUGACGAAUGGAAUACAGCGAUGAAACGAUACAAUGAGAAUAUAAUAGAAAAUUAUUAUUGGACGAUGUACGUGACGCAUGCAUUGCAUAUUAAUUGAUAAUUUAUCGUUCUAAUUCGUGCUCGAAUUAAUUUUAGAAUUAAGUGCACGUUAUUUACAGUGGACUUACGGUCAUUUCUGGAGUCAUGUUGCCCAAUUUCUGUAACACCGAUAGCGUAUAUACAGCGGUGCAACUAAUUAACUAACAUGUUGGUGAUCAUUUCCAUCGAAAUAUCUUAAUCUUUGACUAAUUAAAAAAUUUCGUUCAAAUUUUUUAAAAAAAAAUUAAUAAAAAUAUUCUCGCAAAAAAAAAUAUAACGAUCUUUAUGGAAAAAAUGGACAAUUUUGUUGUACAAAAAGUUAUUAUGUUAUUAAAUCGUUUUCAAAAUCGCGUAAAA